CCUACGGGAGGCAGCAGUGAGGAAUAUUGCACAAUGGGGGGAACCUUGAUGCAGCAACGCCGCGUGGGUGAAGAAGCGCCUCGGCGCGUAAAGCCCUGUCAGCAGGGAAGAAAAUGACGGUACCUGAAGAAGAAGCCCCGGCUAACUACGUGCCAGCAGCCGCGGUAAUACGUAGGGGGCAAGCGUUAUCCGGAUUUACUGGGUGUAAAGGGGGCGCAGACGGGGAUGCAAGCCAGGAGUGAAAGCCCGGGGGCCAACCCCGGGACUGCUCUUGGAACUGCGUGGCUAGAGUGCAGGAGGGGCAGGCGGAAUUCCUGGUGUAGCGGUGAAAUGCGUAGAUAUCAGGAGGAACACCGGUGGCGAAGGCGGCCUGCUGGACUGCAACUGACGUUGAGGCCCGAAAGCGUGGGGAGCAAACAGGAUUAGAUACCCUUGUAGUC
RNAcentral lists this ribosomal RNA (440 nucleotides) under uncultured bacterium. RNAcentral describes it as "partial 16S ribosomal RNA". It matches the Rfam family "Bacterial small subunit ribosomal RNA", at positions 338 to 795 of the family's 1533-position model. The record is from RNAcentral.